CUGGAAAAGAAUAAAAGGCGUGGGAAAACUUAAUUUUAGCGCAACAGAAACAUUUAAGUGUAUGGAAGAUGUAGUAAAAGAGAAACUUGGUGACUGUGAAGAUUGCAAAAAUUUUGCCGGAAAAGUUGGCCGGUGGUUGUCAGGGCAAGGAGAUCGAGAACAGGGUCGAAAACAAAGAUCCUUAUCUUUAUAAUCUAUUUAAUAUAAUAAUCCUUAU
Molecule: long non-coding RNA, 217 nt
Organism: Cotesia glomerata
Lineage: Eukaryota; Metazoa; Arthropoda; Insecta; Hymenoptera; Braconidae
Exons: 2
Source: RefSeq, a predicted model, not a curated record